UGCAAGUCGAACGAUGAAGCCGCUUCGGUGGUGGAUUAGUGGCGAACGGGUGAGUAACACGUGGGCAAUCUGCCCUUCACUCUGGGACAAGCCCUGGAAACGGGGUCUAAUACCGGAUAAUACUCUGUUCCGCAUGGAACGGGGUUGAAAGCUCCGGCGGUGAAGGAUGAGCCCGCGGCCUAUCAGCUUGUUGGUGGGGUAAUGGCCUACCAAGGCGACGACGGGUAGCCGGCCUGAGAGGGCGACCGGCCACACUGGGACUGAGACACGGCCCAGACUCCUACGGGAGGCAGCAGUGGGGAAUAUUGCACAAUGGGCGAAAGCCUGAUGCAGCGACGCCGCGUGAGGGAUGACGGCCUUCGGGUUGUAAACCUCUUUCAGCAGGGAAGAAGCGCAAGUGACGGUACCUGCAGAAGAAGCGCCGGCUAACUACGUGCCAGCAGCCGCGGUAAUACGUAGGGCGCAAGCGUUGUCCGGAAUUAUUGGGCGUAAAGAGCUCGUAGGCGGCUUGUCACGUCGGAUGUGAAAGCCCGGGGCUUAACCCCGGGUCUGCAUUCGAUACGGGCUAGCUAGAGUGUGGUAGGGGAGAUCGGAAUUCCUGGUGUAGCGGUGAAAUGCGCAGAUAUCAGGAGGAACACCGGUGGCGAAGGCGGAUCUCUGGGCCAUUACUGACGCUGAGGAGCGAAAGCGUGUGGAGCGAACAGGAUUAGAUACCCUGGUAGUCCACGCCGUAAACG
Molecule: ribosomal RNA, 737 nt
Filed under: Streptomyces sp. PSu2_39
Lineage: Bacteria; Bacillati; Actinomycetota; Actinomycetes; Kitasatosporales; Streptomycetaceae
Description: bacterial SSU rRNA
Rfam family: Bacterial small subunit ribosomal RNA
Source: RNAcentral